GUGGGAAAUAGAAGGGGUGGGACGACACGCGCAAAGUUCGAAAGGGGCAACUUUAGGCAAAAGUUUCAAAUGCUGGGAGCAGCGGGAAGAGAAGCGUCAGCUUCAACCCAGUCGCGACGGCGCUUGAAAGAAUUUGGCAUCCUGUCCAGAUUGACACCUCAUACUGUUGCAGCAGCUGUCAGAGCAAUAGGACUCUUGACAACCAGGAAGGAAGCACUGUGCCUAGCCAAAAACAGGGAAGGAAGUAAAUCUCUGUGAGAUCAGAGGAUGCAGUUGUAGAUUGCAGCCUGAGGGAUUCCUAAGCAAAACUGUCUGUCAUUGUUGCGAACCUUUUGACUUCACUGAACAAAGGAAGUUAACCUUGCUCCCAGUCAUCUAUUUCAGCUGGGUCUAUAGAGGGUUUCCCCAGCUCUUUCUGGAAAAACCAGCAGUGACUGAACCUGCCACCUCCUUCACAGAUAGAUGAAGCUUGACACCCGAGCUUCAGGUUCAAAUGUGGGCUCAUAUAAUUGUUAAAAAGCCAUUGUUCACUUGGCAAUGUGGUGGGGCCUCUGCAGAGUGGGUUUCUCAACCUACUUGCACUUGGCUGGCUCUUCAGGAAACCUAUAAUCAUGCGCUGCACUUGGCUGAUCUCUUGAUUAUACCUUCAUUACCUGAUGCUGACACAAGGACACUGAAAAGCACGCACGUUCUCGAGGUGGGUACUCAGGAUUACCUCACAUGGAUUAUAGUUACCUGCCAAAACAGUUUCAGUAGCCUGCCCUACACCUGGCAACAAAAGAUUGUGAAAAUGGCAGAUAACAUUUCUUCCUACCCUUUGGGUAUAUUGUAAUUUCACUAACCAGGAAUAUUUAUAAGCCCAGGUGUGGUCUAAAGUAGGGGUGGCAAAACCUUUUCAGCCUGAGGGCUGCACAACCUUCUGAGGGCAACAUGACAGUGUUGGGCAGGGGCAGGGGCAAACGUGAGUGGAGUAAUGAAUGUAAACUGUUAAGUGGGGGUGAACAUAUCAGAUGACACAGUGAUUCUUCAAACAGCUCUUGUUUAU
This is a long non-coding RNA of Podarcis muralis (Common wall lizard), 1045 nucleotides long. RefSeq lists it as uncharacterized. The record is from RefSeq and is a predicted model, not a curated record. Lineage: Eukaryota; Metazoa; Chordata; Lepidosauria; Squamata; Lacertidae.